UGGGGAAUUUUGGACAAUGGGCGCAAGCCUGAUCCAGCCAUGCCGCGUGAGUGAAGAAGGCCUUCGGGUUGUAAAGCUCUUUCAGCCGGAAAGAAAUCGUGCAGAUUAAUACUCUGUAUGGAUGACGGUACCGGAAGAAGAAGCACCGGCUAACUACGUGCCAGCAGCCGCGGUAAUACGUAGGGUGCGAGCGUUAAUCGGAAUUACUGGGCGUAAAGCGUGCGCAGGCGGUUUUGUAAGACAGGCGUGAAAUCCCCGGGCUUAACCUGGGAACUGCGUUUGUGACUGCAAGGCUAGAGUAUGGCAGAGGGGGGUAGAAUUCCACGUGUAGCAGUGAAAUGCGUAGAGAUGUGGAGGAAUACCGAUGGCGAAGGCAGCCCCCUGGGUCAAUACUGACGCUCAUGCACGAAAGCGUGGGGAGCAAACAGGAUUAGAUAUCCUGGUAGUCCACGCCCUAAACGAUGUCAACUAGGUGUUGGGGGAGGAGACUUCCUUAGUACCGCAGCUAACGCGUGAAGUUGACCGCCUGGGGAGUACGGCCGCAAGGUUG
This 550-nucleotide ribosomal RNA is filed under the name uncultured bacterium. Its description in RNAcentral is "bacterial SSU rRNA". It matches the Rfam family "Bacterial small subunit ribosomal RNA", at positions 355 to 896 of the family's 1533-position model. The record is from RNAcentral.